AUUGAACGCUGGCGGCAGGCCUAACACAUGCAAGUCGAACGGUAACAGGAAACAGCUUGCUGUUUCGCUGACGAGUGGCGGACGGGUGAGUACUGUCUGGGAAACUGCCUGAUGGAGGGGGAUAACUACUGGAAACGGUAGCUAAUACCGCAUAACGUCGCAAGACCAAAGAGGGGGCCCUUCGGGCCUCUUGCCAUCGGAUGUGCCCAGAUGGGAUUAGCUAGUAGGUGGGGUAACGGCUCACCUAGGCGACGAUCCCUAGCUGGUCUGAGAGGAUGACCAGCCACACUGGAACUGAGACACGGUCCAGACUCCUACGGGAGGCAGCAGUGGGGAAUAUUGCACAAUGGGCGCAAGCCUGAUGCAGCCAUGCCGCGUGUAUGAAGAAGGCCUUCGGGUUGUAAAGUACUUUCAGCGGGGAGGAAGGGAGUAAAGUUAAUACCUUGGCUCAUUGACGUUACCCGCAGAAGAAGCACCGGCUAACUCCGUG
This 490-nucleotide ribosomal RNA is filed under the name uncultured bacterium. RNAcentral describes it as "partial 16S ribosomal RNA". It matches the Rfam family "Bacterial small subunit ribosomal RNA", at positions 30 to 507 of the family's 1533-position model. The record is from RNAcentral.